RNAcentral lists this ribosomal RNA (491 nucleotides) under Protobothrops jerdonii. RNAcentral describes it as "partial 12S ribosomal RNA". It matches the Rfam family "Bacterial small subunit ribosomal RNA", at positions 875 to 1520 of the family's 1533-position model. The record is from RNAcentral. Lineage: Eukaryota; Metazoa; Chordata; Lepidosauria; Squamata; Viperidae.
GCCUAACCAAAUACACAAUUAAACUACCAAUUGUCCGCCAAACAACUACGAGUCACACUUAAAACUUAAAAGACUUGACGGUACUUCACCACGACCUAGAGGAGCCUGUCUGAUAACCGACAAUCCACGAUUAACCCCACCCUUUCUCGCCCAACAGUCUAUAUACCGCCGUCGCCAGCUUACCUUGUAAAAGAAAUAAAGUGAGCCAAACAGUACUGCACUAAAACGACAGGUCGAGGUGUAACCCAUGAAAGGGGUUAAGAUGGGCUACAUUCUCCAACCGAGAAUACGAAUAGCACUAUGAAACUAGUGCCUGAAGGCGGAUUUAGCAGUAAGAUAGGAAUAAAACACCUAACUGAACACAACGCAAUGAAGUGCGUACACACCGCCCGUCAUCCCUGCCACACAACAUUAAAUCUUAAUAAACCGACAAAAAAGCCAAACAGGGCAAGUCGUAACAUGGUAAGUGUACUGGAAAGUGUACUUAGAAA